AACGAACGCUGGCGGCAUGCCUAACGCAUGCAAGUCGAACGAGACCUUCGGGUCUAGUGGCGCACGGGUGCGUAACGCGUGGGAAUCUGCCCUUGGGUUCGGAAUAACUCGCCGAAAGGCGUGCUAAUACCGGAUGAUGACGUAAGUCCAAAGAUUUAUCGCCCAAGGAUGAGCCCGCGUUGGAUUAGCUAGUUGGUGAGGUAAAGGCUCACCAAGGCGACGAUCCAUAGCUGGUCUGAGAGGAUGAUCAGCCACACUGGGACUGAGACACGGCCCAGACUCCUACGGGAGGCAGCAGUGGGGAAUAUUGGACAAUGGGCGAAAGCCUGAUCCAGCAAUGCCGCGUGAGUGAUGAAGGCCUUAGGGUUGUAAAGCUCUUUUACCCGGGAUGAUAAUGACCGUACCGGGAGAAUAAGCUCCGGCUAACUCCGUG
This 433-nucleotide ribosomal RNA is filed under the name uncultured bacterium. RNAcentral's name for it is "partial 16S ribosomal RNA". It matches the Rfam family "Bacterial small subunit ribosomal RNA", at positions 29 to 507 of the family's 1533-position model. The record is from RNAcentral.